AAUAUUUGACAAUGGGCGCAAGCCUGAUCCAGCCAUGCCGCGUUAGUGAUGAAGGCCCUAGGGUUGUAAAGCUCUUUCAACGGUGAAGAUAAUAACGGUAACCGUUGAAGAAGCCCCGGCUAACUUCGUGCUACCAGCCACGGUAAUCCGAAGGGGGUGCACGUUGUUCGGAAUUACAGGGCGUAAAGCGCACGUAGGCGGAUCGAUCAGUUAGGGGUGAAAUCCCAGGGCUAAACCCUGGAACUGCCUCUAAUACUGUCGAUCUCGAGUUCGAGAGAGGUGAGUGGAAUUCCGAGUGUAGAGGUGAAAUUCGUAGAUAUUCGGAGGAACACCAGUGGCGAAGGCGGCUCACUGGCUCGAUACUGACGCUGAGGUGCGAAAGCGUGGGGAGCAAACA
Molecule: ribosomal RNA, 397 nt
Filed under: uncultured bacterium
Lineage: Bacteria
Description: partial 16S ribosomal RNA
Rfam family: Bacterial small subunit ribosomal RNA
Source: RNAcentral